GCUGGGCAUGGUGGCGGGUGCCUGUAAUCCCAGCUACUCAGGAGGCUGAGGCAGGAGAAUUGCUUGAACCUGGGAAGCUGAGGCUACAGUGAGAAGAGAUUACACCACUGUGCUCCAGCCUGGGCGACAGAGCAAGGCUCUGUCUCAU
This is an unclassified non-coding RNA of Pongo abelii (Sumatran orangutan), 148 nucleotides long. It matches the Rfam family "Metazoan signal recognition particle RNA". Rfam says of the family: The signal recognition particle (SRP) is a universally conserved ribonucleoprotein. It is involved in the co-translational targeting of proteins to membranes. NCBI's taxonomy places the organism in Eukaryota, Metazoa, Chordata, Mammalia, Primates, Hominidae. The record is from Ensembl.